AACGAACGUUGGCGGCGUGGAUAAGACAUGCAAGUCGAACGAGAGAAUUGCUAGCUUGCUAAUAAUUCUCUAGUGGCGCACGGGUGAGUAACACGUGAGUAACCUGCCCCCAAGAGUGGGAUAGCCCCGGGAAACUGGGAUUAAUACCGCAUAAAAUCGCAAGAUUAAAGCAGCAAUGCGCUUGGGGAUGGGCUCGCGUCCUACUAGUUAGUUGGUGAGGUAACGGCUCACCAAGGCGAUGACGGGUAGCCGGUCUGAGAGGAUGUCCGGCCACACUGGAACUGAGACACGGUCCAGACACCUACGGGUGGCAGCAGUCGAGAAUCAUUCACAAUGGGGGAAACCCUGAUGGUGCGACGCCGCGUGGGGGAAUGAAGGUCUUCGGAUUGUAAACCCCUGUCAUGUGGGAGCAAAUUAAAAAGAUAGUACCACAAGAGGAAGAGACGGCUAACUCUGUGCCAGCAGCCGCGGUAAUACAGAGGUCUCAAGCGUUGUUCGGAAUCACUGGGCGUAAAGCGUGCGUAAGCGGUUUCGUAAGUCGUGUGUGAAAGGCGGGGGCUCAACCCCCGGACUGCACAUGAUACUGCGAGAAUAGAGUAAUGGAGGGGGAACCGGAAUUCUCUNUNUNUCCUUNUNNUNCUUNGNUCUCGUGAGGAACCCUCNUNCGCCNNCNNCUUCCUNNNCCUUCNCUNNCNCUNNNNCNCNNNGNCCNNNNNCCCCUUCAAGAGGGCANANNNNAANANNNNNNAAAANAAAAGGCCUCUUCUGAAAAUCGGGGAAUCGACCCCCUCCGUGCCGGAGCUAACGCGUUAAGUGUUCCGCCUGGGGAGUACGGUCGCAAGAUUAAAACUCAAAGAAAUUGACGGGGACCCGCACAAGCGGUGGAGUAUGUGGUUUAAUUCGAUGCAACGCGAAGAACCUUACCUGGUCUUGACAUGUAUUGAACAACACGUGAAUGCAUCCGACUCUUCGGAGGAGUGACACAAGUGGUGCAUGGCCGUCGUCAGGUCGUGUUGUGAGAAGGUUGGUUAAGUUCAGCAACGAGGGCCACCCCCGUUCCCCGUUACCAGCCAGUAAAGGUGGGGACUCUGGCGAGACUGCCCAGAUCAACUUGGAGGAAGGUGGGGAGGACGUCAGGUCAUUAUGGCCCUUAUGCCCUGGGCUGCACACGUACUACAAUGCCCAGUACAGAGGGGGGGGAAGCCGCGAGGCGGAGGAAAUCCUAAAAAA
RNAcentral lists this ribosomal RNA (1230 nucleotides) under uncultured bacterium. Its description in RNAcentral is "partial 16S ribosomal RNA". It matches the Rfam family "Bacterial small subunit ribosomal RNA", at positions 28 to 1281 of the family's 1533-position model. The record is from RNAcentral.